GGUGGCGGCGGCGCCCGAGUAUCCGUCCCGCACGCCGGGGCGAGGGGCGAGCAAGCGCGCUCCUCCUCCCGCGCCCUGCGCCCCCGUGCUCCCCCUCUCCCCGCUGCUCGUUCUCCCGUCCCUCCCUCCUUCUCUUCCUUCUUUCCGUGUUAUUUUCCUCUUCUCUUUCCCCUUUUCUCUCUCCCUGACCGUUCGCUUGUACAUUCCCAUUCUCCCCCCGUCGCUCUCCUCUCUCCCCCUCCCCUCCUCACUGUCACACUCUCUCUGCCCCCGUCUCUCUUUUCUCAUUUGCUUGCUCAUCUCCGAACGUGGUUCCGCGGCUCCCGGAGGAGCCCAGCUCUCGGAGCACCUGGAGUCCGGCCGGCGGCGGCCCGAGCCUGGCCAGCGGCGGCGGCGGCGGCGGGAGCGGCGGGAGGCGAGGUAGCGGCAGCCCCGACCGCGGGCACCGCGGGAGCCCCAGCGGCAGCAGUCGCCGCCGAGAUGUCCCGGCGAAAGCAGAGCAAACCCCGGCAGAUCAAACGGCCGCUUGAAGAUGCCAUUGAAGAUGAGGAAGAAGAAUGUCCAUCAGAGGAAACAGACAUCAUCUCCAAAGGAGACUUUCCAUUGGAGGAAAGCUUUUCCACAGAAUUUGGGCCUGAAAAUCUGAGCUGUGAAGAAGUGGAAUACUUUUGUAACAAAGGUGAUGAUGAAGGAAUCCAGGAGACAGCAGAAUCAGAUGGGGACACACAGUCAGAGAAACCGGGGCAAUCUGGAGUUGAGACAGAUGACUGGGAUGGCCCAGUGCCAUUACUUCAGUGAUAAGGAUUGUUUAAUUUUGGCUCCAGGAGAAAUGAAAUUUUUCAAGUCUAGGAACAUGGAACUCUGAUCCAAAUUUGCAAAACAACAGUGAGUCAUUUGACAUAACUCUACUUCAUUGUUUUCCUAAUUAGACAUCUUCCAUCUUAAAUGCGGCUGACCAUGGGAAUGCAAGCUCACACACUUGAGUUCAAGUGGCAGCAUCCAGCCCGAUACUUUCUGACCGUGUGGUUUGGAUAAUGCUUUAGCUUCUCUAGUGUAGUGUUUUCUCAUUUACUAACAUCAACAUGGGUUAAAACUGAUGUGAAGAUUGAAUGAUAAUGUAUGUUGAACUUCCUAUGUAAAUUGUACUGAAAAAAUGCUAUUUGGACAUUGUUUAAAAAUGCAAGUUUCUACUUAUCCAAAUUUAUAGAAAUGGAAUGUGUCAAAAGAAAUGAUUGUCUUCUACUCUCUCCAAGACCUGAUGAGACCGGACCCAUACUUAAAAUGCCAGAGCCAGGGUUAGCUAAACUAAUACAUCUUCUAAUGGUCGUGAUUCCUUCGGGGGAUUAUCCGGGUGGGCUGGAAGCAGGGUUUUGUCACUCAUUCUUGUAGUUUGAGGCUUCCUAAUGACACAGAACUUUAUGUUUCAUAAAAUCUGAGUUAAAUAAGAGUGUUAGUACUGGGAAGUACCUUAGAGAUACAGAGAACUGCAGAUUUGCAAGUCUCUUCUUUGUAAAUAUUAAUUCUAUCGGUGCAGAAUGGGGUCUGGGAAAAGACCUUUUUAAUAAGCAUCUCUUUCCUAAACUGGCUCUGGUCAUUCUGCUGACCACCAGCUUGGGUGUAAGAAGCACUGCCUUGGAAGACAUGGUUUCUUCAAACUCCUGAUCGGUAUUCAAUUAUCCUACUCUGGCAAGGAUACCCCUCUUGGUGAGGAUUUCAUGGAACACAACUAAGGUAUAUCCUCAGUUUCGAGCCCCAAAACAUUUUACUGAGAAUAAAGAAGGCACCAAAGAUAAUAUAUGAUUUUUUAAUUUCUUUCCUGGUUGCUCUUCAUAAUAAUGCAUUGUAUAGUCUAGAAAAAUAUGGAAAUACUUUUUACAGAAAGUAUAACUUUCUAUUUUAAGUAUUGUUCUCACAGGUCAUAAAAUCCUGAAUUUUAUAUCAUGAUCUUAGUUGACAAUGAUAAUGUCUCUGAUUUGUCUUAUUCUGAGGUUAAUUUUACAUUGAUCCAAUAUGUUAGGAUAUUCUGAUUGAAGUUUAAAUUCAGACCGAUUUGUGGAAGCUAAUGUCAUUACAAGAAAACUAACAAGACAUGCAGGAGUUUCAUUUUAUUUCCCUCUUACUAUCCUUCAGAACUGGCAGAAAUAAGAUAUUUAUAUAGUCUAUGAAACCUGUUAUUUUAAUUUUUGCCUAGUAAACAUUGUUUCUUUUUAAGACUAUAAAAUACUUGAGGUCAGAUACUUUUUAAAAAAGUGGAUGUUACUCCUUUCUGGCUUCUGAUUCUGCACCUUGUACACAGAAGGGAGUGGCUCAAAAUGUGCACAAAUUCUCCCAAAACAUUUGCAUAAUGUGGUAAUGUCUAUAAUUAGUUUUAAGAUAAAUAUACUUUAAUUAAAGUCUGUCUAACCAGUGAAAUAUUUAAUACAACCAUUUUUGAAAAACAAUGAUUAGGAGUCAGCCAUUAUAAACAAGGAGGAAAUUGUUGGAAAAACUUGUUGCAUUUCUGUUUUUGCAGCUCAUUGGCUCCAUUGUUAUUGGAAGUGGAAGAAUGUUUAUUAUUUCAGGAGGUAAAGGCCGCUAGAAGCUUAUUUGUCUGAGAAAAUCUGCAAUAUUGGUUUUCUAUAACCUGGGAUAUGUUAUGAAACAUGUUUACAAAAAUUAUGACUUCAGGCUUGGUGAGCAUUUUUUUUUUUAAUAAUAGCUAGUCCUUUGCCAGAUCUGUAAUGUAAAAUUCAACCAAUUUUUCUAGGUAUCAGAUAUCAUGCUUAUAUUAAAGUAUUUUUCUGUUUCAAUGCUGUUUUUAUUACAUUGCAUAGAUCAAGGAAUCGAAAUGCUGGUGAAUCACUUGAACUCCCCGAUGAGCAUCAAAUAGUGGUAGGUAACCACCAGCUAGCUGUAAGCUCAGUUACUGCUGUGAUAAUCUUUUGAGAGUGGGUGAUUAUGGUAGUACAUUGUUUUCUUGCCAGUGUUUUUCUCAUAGGUAGCUGCUCUUAGCUUCAUUUGACUAAUGGAAAUUUUAAAUUCUGCCUCAUGAUUCACAGGGGAGUAGAGAGCAACCAUAUAUCUUAUGCCCAGGGUUCUGAACUGCAUGGUGUUUGAAAGAAAAGAGCAGCAUUUACCCAGGGAGCAUUGGUACCUUAUCUAAUUUGCCACUUCUUUCUUCCUUUCAGAAUCAUUUCAUCUUCCUAUGCUUGCAUUCAUGCACGUAUCUUCCACUUACACGGCAGUUAUAUUGCACAACUCUGCACCUACAAAUAUAACUAUGUCUAAACAAUCUCAGGUAUUGUCACCAGUAUGAUUGUAGAGUCCAGGUUCAUGUGCUAGCACAGAAAAAGUAAAUUAUGUAAUGUGUGAACAAUUUCUACUCUUUCCUUUUAGUACACCCUUAAUAGCAACUAGACUUAUAUUUUCCUCUUUAAUCAAAAACUAUUUAUUGAAUUCAUACAAGAGUUUUUUAAGUAUGGGACCCAUUUUAAGUAUGGGUCCGGACUACUGAACUAGAAUGUAAAAUUAAUCCAAGAAAAAAAGGCAUAUUCUGCAAAAGUUGAAAAGAGCCCUUUGCAGGGAGAAGAAAUAUUUUAAGUUAUAACUGCAGGCAAUAUGUGUUUCCUGAAUUAGGGAAUGAUGGUACUGUGGGAUUACUUUUUUUUUUUUUUUUUUGAGACAAAGUCUUACUCUGUUGCCCAGCGCGAUCUCAGCUCACUGCAAGCUCCGUCCGCCAGGUUCACGCCAUUCUCCUCCCUCAGCCUCCUGAGUAGCUGGGACUACAGGAACCCGCCACCAUGCCCAGCUAAUUUUUCGUAUUUUUAGUAGAGACGGGGUUUCACCGUGUUAGCCAGGAUGGUCUUGAACUCCUGACUUCGUGAUCUGCCCACCUUGGGCUCCCAGAGUGCUGGGAUUACAGACUUGAGCCACCACUCCCGGCCGGGAUUACAUUUUUAAAAAAUCCAGUUCACAAAAGUGGUUGCAAAGGUCAGAGUAAAAGUGGUUUAGUGUGGACUAGGAGAACAUGUUACGUCAUAGUUGGAGAGCCUAUCACAUCAUACUUUCAGCAUAAAAAUAUUUCUUAAAAAAAAAUUGGGCUAUAUUGCUUCCCUUAAUUUUCUGUAUUUGUUUUGCUCCAUUGUAUAAAUCUGCUUGAGCUUCUAUACGAAAAUUCCUUGGACUGUGUGGCUUAAACAACUGAAAUUUAUUUUCUUGCAGUUCUGGAGGCUGGAUGCCCAAGAUCAGGUGCCAGCAUGGUCUGGUUGGUGGUGGGGGCUCCCUUCCUGGCUGCAGAUGGCCACCUUCUAGCUGUGUGCACAGGUGACCUUUUCUCACUUUGUGCACAUGGAAAGACAGGCACUCUGGUUUCUCUUCCUCUUCUUGUGAGGACUCUAAUCCUAUUGGAUCAGGCUCCUAACUUUAUGUGCUAAUAAUCUAACCAUAAUUACUUUCGUAAAGGCCCUAUAGUCAAAUACUGUCACAAUGGGAAGGAAUUAGGGCUUCCACAUAGGAAUUUGGGAGGGCCACAAGUCAGUCCAUAGCAACCACCAGUGGUUCAGUGAAUGGUAUUAAUAUAGUAAGAAUGUAUCUUAAGUAGGUAAGUUAGCGUGUAGUUGAUACCCAGGUAAGAACCAGACAGCAAUCCCUUUACUGGAUUGACCUCUAUUUAGGCCAGACCAGACUGUCAGUUUUGGGUGUAGUCACAAACUAACUCAAGUUAGUGUGUGUUGGAGCACAAACUCAAGCUCAAAAUAACGUCAUCAGCAGCAACAGCAACUUAUUGCCACAAAUAAUGAGAAAAAUCCCAAUUUGAAUUUGACUUCUCAGUAAAUGAUUUGGGGCUGAGUGAAUGGGCAGCUAUCAACAUUACAUAUAUAUACUGAAGUAAUCUGUAUCCCUUGUUGUUAACAAUUUGGUUAUCAGAUUGUCUAAUGUUUUUCUGCCUGAUUUACCAAUUAUGGCAAAAGGUAUAUUUCCAUCUUCCAUUAUGACAAUGGAUUUGUCAGCUUUUCUCUUGUAAUUCACUGUAUUUUUACUUUAUGUAUUUUAAGGCUACGCCAUCAAGUGCAUAGAAGUCAAUUUUUAUUUCCUAGUAAAUUAUUAAUUCAAUAAUUAUCUCAUUACUCUUUAUCCUUAAUAGUGAUUUUUUUGGCUAUUAUUCUGUUUACUCUGAUAUAGCAUCUUUCCUAUACACUUUCUCUAUUCCUUUUCCUCUUUCUUUUUUAGAUGUACUUCAUGAAUGUAGCAUACAGGCAGAUUUUUAAAAAAUUAAAUUCAGAUACUUUGUCCGUUAACUGGAUACUUCUCUUUGCAUUUAUUGUGAUUACUGAUCUAAUUCUAUUCAUCUUUACCAUAUGAUAUGGUAUACAUUUUUUAAUUCUUUUUCCUUCUUUUCAUAAACUUCUUUUAUAUCAACUUUUUAAAAAUGUCUUUUUUCCCCUCUACCAACUUAGCAGACAUAAAUUUUAUUUAUAUUUUUAGUGGUUUUCUUUAAAUGUUUAUUUCGAUAUUUCCCACCAGAGCAAAACCUGUCAUUACUCAACAUCUAUAGUCUUCUUCCAAACUGUGCACAGACUUUAGAAUCAUUUAAUACCCAGGACACCUUCCUAUUUUACAUGAAUUUGUUUCCUAAUAUUUUAGAAAUUUGCAGUUAUUGUGUUAUAUGUGAAAUAUUUAUUUAGAUGUAUUAUUUUGUUUAUCUGCUUAUUUACCUGCAUUCUUGUUCACUGUUGAUACUUGCAUCUCAUUUCUUUAUUCUCUUUCUUUCUUUUCUUUCUUUUCUUUCUUUC
Molecule: long non-coding RNA, 5771 nt
Filed under: Cercocebus atys (sooty mangabey)
Lineage: Eukaryota; Metazoa; Chordata; Mammalia; Primates; Cercopithecidae
Description: lncRNA (ENSCATG00000045823.1)
Source: RNAcentral